AGUUUUACAGUCCGAAGGUCAAGACUGAUAUCUGGCCAUCCCAACAUGCCCUGGCUGAUCUUCUUCAGUACUUAUUAAAACGAGAUAAAAAACAAAA
Sturnus vulgaris (Common starling) is the source of this 97-nucleotide non-coding RNA. NCBI's taxonomy places the organism in Eukaryota, Metazoa, Chordata, Aves, Passeriformes, Sturnidae. The record is from RefSeq and is a predicted model, not a curated record.